AGGAUAAUAGUUAAAAAUAACAUUUAACUUGCAAUUAAAAAGUAUUGAACAAUCAAUUUAUCUU
This 64-nucleotide transfer RNA is filed under the name Chelonarium sp. BMNH 840450. Its description in RNAcentral is "tRNA-Ala". It matches the Rfam family "tRNA". From Rfam's summary of the family: Transfer RNA (tRNA) molecules are approximately 80 nucleotides in length. Their secondary structure includes four short double-helical elements and three loops (D, anti-codon, and T loops). The record is from RNAcentral. Lineage: Eukaryota; Metazoa; Arthropoda; Insecta; Coleoptera; Chelonariidae.